This 329-nucleotide ribosomal RNA is filed under the name uncultured eukaryote. Its description in RNAcentral is "partial 18S ribosomal RNA". It matches the Rfam family "Eukaryotic small subunit ribosomal RNA", at positions 1470 to 1796 of the family's 1831-position model. The record is from RNAcentral.
CCCUUAGAUGUUCUGGGCCGCACGCGCGCUACACUGAUGCAUUCAACGAGUCUAAAGCCUGCUCUGAUAGGGGUGGGUAAUCUUUUGAAUGUGCAUCGUGAUUGGGAUAGAUGAUUGCAAUUUUUCAUCUUCAACGAGGAAUGCCUAGUAAACGCAAGUCAUCAGCUUGCAUUGAUUACGUCCCUGCCCUUUGUACACACCGCCCGUCGCUCCUACCGAUUGAAUGAUCCGAUGAAUAUCAUGGAUUGAGGAUUAUAGCAGGUUCGCCUGUCUUGAUCUUCGAGAAGUGAAGUAAAUCUUGUCAUUUAGAGGAAGGAGAAGUCGUAACA